This 88-nucleotide transfer RNA is filed under the name Danionella cerebrum. RNAcentral's name for it is "tRNA-Pro". It matches the Rfam family "tRNA". Rfam says of the family: Transfer RNA (tRNA) molecules are approximately 80 nucleotides in length. Their secondary structure includes four short double-helical elements and three loops (D, anti-codon, and T loops). Lineage: Eukaryota; Metazoa; Chordata; Actinopteri; Cypriniformes; Danionidae. The record is from RNAcentral.
GGCUCGUUGGUCUAGGGGUAUGAUUCUCGCUUAGGGUGCGAGAGGUCCCAGGUUCAAAUCCUCUCGGGUUCAAAUCCUGGAGGAGCCC